This is a long non-coding RNA of Parus major (Great Tit), 708 nucleotides long. RefSeq lists it as uncharacterized. The record is from RefSeq and is a predicted model, not a curated record. The transcript is spliced from 2 exons. Lineage: Eukaryota; Metazoa; Chordata; Aves; Passeriformes; Paridae.
CCGCGGCCUCCCCGCUCCCCUCACGCCGCCUCCUACCGCCGCCCUCAGCGCCGCCGCGGCCCAGGCCAGCGCCAUCUUUCCCGCCUCUACUCCCUCACGCUCCGCCCCUCUCCCUCACGCGAGGGCGGGCGCCGCCAUCUUGCCUCCCCCUCAGAGCGGCCGCGCAUGCGCAGCGCCCUCCCCCGCCCUCCCCGAAUUAAAACUGCGCCACACGGCGCGCGGACAAUGGCGGGCGGCGGCCGCGCGCGCGCGCCCUGAGGGCCCCGCGCAGGCGCCGUUGGGCGGCUUAACGAGAAGGGGGCGUGGCCAAAGCCCUCCGGGGGGCGUGGCCAGGCGCGGGGCGUGGCCCGGUAUAAAAAGCCGCUCCCGGCGUUGCCGCUGCCAUUCUGAGGGCUGGUGGAGGUUUGGUUGGUCUUGAGAGACGCCGUCGCCUUUACCACGAGAGAAAAACCAAUACAAACAAUACAAAAUACAAUACAAAACGCGAACAAAACAACAAUAUAUAUAUAUCUAUAUAUAUACAACAAAGAGGGGAAGGAAAAAACAGGUUUUCUCUCCCCCUUUGCCUUGAAGAGCCGCCGCAGCCUCUCCGUCCUUUGGACCGUCCUUGGAAGCCGUUCCAAACCCGAAGGAAACUGCCACUUUAAAAAACAUAUUUCCCUCUUCUUUCCCCCAAAAAAACAAAGGCAAAACCCACUUUUUUUUUUU